AUGAAGUGGGCGGUUAGAGCAAAAGUGCGGCGCGUUGUACAAGGGGAUAACAACACACAAUUUUUCCAUAUGAUUGCAAAUGGAAAACAUAGGAAGAAGAAAAUAAUCCGGCUUGAACAGGAUGAGGGUACGAUUGUAGGUCAUGAGAACCUAAAGCUGUACAUCACUAACUAUUAUAAACAAUUGUUUGGGGAUCCAGUUGAGAAUUUUGUCAGCCUGGAUGAGGCAAGAGUAGAUGAUAUCCCUCAACUUCGGAAUGACGAGAAUGAGAUCCUCACAGCUCCUUUUUCUGAGAAGGAGGUAUAUGAGGCGAUUGCCCAAAUGAAAAACAAUAAAGCAUUUGGUCCGGAUGGUUUUCCAGCUGAAUUCUACAAGAAGUGUUGGGGUAUCAUUAAAGGAGAUUUGAUGUCUAUGUUUCAUGAUCUCUUUAAUGGGCACUUACAACUUUUCAAAUUAAAUUUUGGAACUAUCACUUUAUUGCCAAAGAAGGAGGAAGCAAUCCGCAUUGAGCAAUUUAGACUGAUAUGUCUACUCAAUGUGAGUUUUAAAAUUUUCACGAAAGUUGGCACAAACCAUCUUACACAGAUUGCACAUACGGUGGUUCAGCCAACGCAGACUGCUUUCAUGCCAGGGCGACAUAUCCUAGAAGGGGUGGUUGUCCUACAUGAGACCCUUCAUGAAAUCCACUCGAAGAAACUCGAUGGAGUGAUUUUCAAGGUGGAUUUCGAAAAGGCUUAUGGUAAAUUCAAAUGGCCUUUUCUGCAACAGGCCUUGCGCAUGAAAGGAUUUGAUGACGCCUGGAGAAAGCAGGUUGAAUCCUUUGUGCAGGGAGGCAGCGUUGGUAUUAAAGUGAAUGAUGAUAUUGGUCAUUACUUUCAGACGCUUAAGGGAUUAAGGCAAGGUGAUCCCAUGUCUCCAAUUAUGUUCAAUGUUGUUGUCGACAUGUUGACCGUUCUUGUUAAUAGGGCGAAACAAGAAGGCCAAGUAGGAGGUCUAAUCCCACAUUUGGUGGAUGGUGGGGUUUCCAUCCUACAGUAUGCGGAUGACACAAUUAUUUUUAUGGAACAUGACCUUGCGAAAGCAAGGAACAUGAAGUUAGUGCUUUGCUUGUUCGAACAACUAUCCGGACUUAAGAUUAAUUUUAAUAAGAGCGAAUUGUUCUGCUUUGGACGCGCCAAGGAGGAACAAGAAAGCUAUAAACAGUUGUUCGGAUGUGAAUUAGGUGCGCUUCCCUUUACAUAUCUAGGGAUACCAAUUCACCAUCGCAAACUAACUAACAAAGAAUGGAAGUGUAUUGAGGAUCGGUUUGAGAAGAAACUAAGUUGCUGGAAAGGCAAACUUUUAUCUUAUGGAGAAAGAUUAAUUCUUAUUAACUCGGUUCUGACUAGCAUGCCGAUGUUCCUCCUUUUUUUCUUUGAAGUACCAGUAGGAGUACGGAAAAGAUUAGACUUUUACCGAUCCAGAUUCUUUUGGCAAAUGGAUGAGAACAAGGCUAAAUAUAGGCUUGCCAGGUGGGAUAUAAUUUGUAGACCGAAGGACCAGGGUGGCUUGGGUGUUGAGAAUUUAGAGGUAAAAAACAGAUGCUUGCUGAGCAAAUGGUUAUAUCGUCUUUCGGUAGAGACAGAGGGUGUGUGGCUGCAGUUAUUGCGUAACAAAUACUUAUAUGCGAAGUCUUUGGCUCACGUAACGACACAACCCACCGACUCACCGUUUUGUAAAGGACUUAUGAGGACGAAAGUUGCUUUCUUUAACAAAGUGGGAUUUAGAGUAGGGAAUGGGCAAGGAACUAGAUUCUCGAAGGAUACCUGGUUAGGUGACACUCCAUUAGCGUUACAGUAUCCAAGUUUAUAUAACAUGGCACAACGGAAAGAUGUUUCGGUUGCUUCAGUGUUACAGUCCAGUCCGCUCAAUAUUCAUUUUAGACGGGCACUUAUAGGUCCACGUUGGGAUACAUGGUUGCAUCUCGUGCGUAGAUUAAUGGAUAUUAAUCUGUCGGAUGCCAAUGACACGAUAGUUUGGAAGUUAACGGUGUCAGGAGUCUUCACAAUUAAAACUAUGUAUACGGAUUUAAUCAAUACCGGAGACAUCCCAAGGUCGGGCCAUAUUUGGAGGAUUAAAGUGCCGUUGAAAAUAAAAGUGUUUAUGUGGUUUGUUCACAAAAGUGUCAUUUUAACCAAAGAUAGCCUAGCCAAACGUAAUUGGGUAGGGAGUUCCCGUUGUUGCUUUUGUGAUCAAAACGAAACAAUUGAACAUUUGUUUACCAAAUGCCCGCUUGCUAGGUUAUUCUGGAGAACUAUUCAUGUGGCUCUUAAUGUCAAUCCGUCAACUUCAAUAUCACAAUUCUUUCAUAACUGGCUGAACGGGGUGAGACCUCAGACAGCAGCACAAAUCAGAGUCGGAGCAUGUGUGUUGCUUUGGGCUAUAUGGAAUUGUCGGAAUGGCAUGGCUUUUAACAGACAACACAUUACUAAUUUUUUGCAGGUCAUCUUCAGAGCGUCUACAUGGAUCCGUACGUGGUCCUUGCUGAGCCAUACGGACCACAGGGCGCACAUGGCUAUUGGGUGCAACCGAUGGGAAACGGUUGCACGGGAUACUUACAACUGA
Molecule: ribosomal RNA, 2604 nt
Filed under: Triticum aestivum (bread wheat)
Lineage: Eukaryota; Viridiplantae; Streptophyta; Magnoliopsida; Poales; Poaceae
Description: partial small subunit ribosomal RNA
Source: RNAcentral